GAGAUCUUCGGAUCUAGUGGCGCACGGGUGAGUAACGCGUGGGAACCUACCUUUUAGUACGGGACAACGUUUGGAAACGAACGCUAAUACCGUAUACGCCCUCCGGGGGAAAGGCUUGCCGCUAAAAGAGGGGCCCGCGUCUGAUUAGCUUGUUGGUAAGGUAAUGGCUUACCAAGGCUUCGAUCAGUAGCUGGUCUGAGAGGAUGAUCAGCCACACUGGGACUGAGACACGGCCCAGACUCCUACGGGAGGCAGCAGUGGGGAAUAUUGGACAAUGGAGGCAACUCUGAUCCAGCAAUGCCGCGUGUGUGAUGAAGGCCUUAGGGUUGUAAAGCACUUUCAACGGUGAAGAUGAUGACGGUAGCCGUAGAAGAAGCCCCGGCUAACUUCGUGCCAGCAGCCGCGGUAAUACGAAGGGGGCGAGCGUUAUUCGGAAUUAUUGGGCGUAAAGGGCUCGCAGGCUGCUUGAACAGUUAGACGUGAAAUCCCCGGGCUCAACCUGGGAACUGCGUUUAAUACUAGCAAGCUAGAGUAAUAGAGAGGAAAG
RNAcentral lists this ribosomal RNA (547 nucleotides) under uncultured Alphaproteobacteria bacterium. Its description in RNAcentral is "bacterial SSU rRNA". It matches the Rfam family "Bacterial small subunit ribosomal RNA", at positions 69 to 661 of the family's 1533-position model. The record is from RNAcentral. Lineage: Bacteria; Pseudomonadati; Pseudomonadota; Alphaproteobacteria.